AGUUAAUAAGCUUUACAAGCAUAUAUUUUGAAAAUAUAAGAAAAAGGUUUAAUUCCUUUAUUAACUU
Molecule: transfer RNA, 67 nt
Filed under: Lygus lineolaris (tarnished plant bug)
Lineage: Eukaryota; Metazoa; Arthropoda; Insecta; Hemiptera; Miridae
Description: tRNA-Ser
Rfam family: tRNA
About the family: Transfer RNA (tRNA) molecules are approximately 80 nucleotides in length. Their secondary structure includes four short double-helical elements and three loops (D, anti-codon, and T loops).
Source: RNAcentral